CCCAUACGCUGUAUGUUCCAGUAUCCGCUGUUAGCUGUGACUCACUAGUUCAUUCUGACCGAAUGGUUAAAAUGUUGUUAUGAUAGGCACACAUAGGAGGAGCAUAGCCUAUAUUAUACAAAAACAUUGAGAACAUCUGCUCUUCCCAUGACAGACUGACCAGGUGAAUCCAGGUGAAAGCUACGAUCCCUUAUUGAGGUCACUCGUUAAAUCCACCAAUGAAUGUAGAUGAAGGUGAAGAAGGAUUUUUAAGCCUUGAGACAAUUGAGACUUGGAUUGUGUAUGUGUACCAUUCAGAGGGUGAAUGUGCAAGACCAAUCAUUUCAAAGGAUUUAAUCCUGGAGGAAUCUGGGCUUGUUUUGUCAUUUCUAGGACAGUGAGAUGUGUUUCACAUAUAUUUGACUAGUAGGAAGGCAGGUCAUGGCUUCAUGGGCUGAAUGAUACACCCUAUGACGGCUUCCCAUGUAUUGGGAGGGGGGUCUAAAAAUACAUGUAGUCCUGCUUUGUGGCGUUUCACAAAGUCUCUAUGUUAUUCAGAUCGCGCUAUGCGUUUUUGUGUGUAGAGAUAUGGUUGUUCUUCUUUCAUACAUCCAUUGGACGUCUUUCAGCGAUGUUCCUAUCAGCUGAUUAAUUGAAAAGUAUACAAGCAGACGCAUUUUUCCAGUCUCUGAAAGACUACAUCUUGGGUUGGGCGAUGCUUUGUGCUCUGGCCCCCAAGGCAGGUUUUUUUUUUAAAGGAGGCGAAUGGACUGACCAUGCGUAAUGGCUUCAAGUAAUUCCUCCCAUCAAUACAAAUUUGACGAUGGAGCAUUUGUUAGCUACAUAGUGACAUUCAACCAUCUAUGUUUCAACUGGAAUAUAGCAAAGAGAAUUUGAAAGAAAUAGUUGGAUUUAGUGAACGUUAGAAGCUCAGCUACAGCCAAUGCCAGCACCAAGACAGCUAUGCACCAUAUUUGUCAUCUGCCAAUCGUAGAUAUGGCUAGCUACUAAACAGCCAUCAACAACAUUACAACCAGCCACCUAAAGCUAAGUUUACCACCAAACAAGAAUGUAUCUUCAGGAUUGCUCUUGUCUUUGGCCAGCUUCUCCAUGAACUCCUGGCAAGGGAGGUUGAAGUUUGUCUUCACAAUAAGCAUGGCCUUGAUGGUAGGUACAGUGAACCUAUUUCUUGCUGCUCUCCAUAGAUCAUUCGUUUGGGAGAAAACUCUCUCGACUGGUGCAUUACUUCCAGAAUUUCAGCGGACUCCACAGCACAGUGGUCCUGGCCUUCAAGCAUCUUGAUCGUGUCACUGAAUACAGUCAAGUUUCCAUGGACAAAGUCCAGCCAACGUUCAGUCAGUGGAUCUUCAAACAUUGUUCGCAGGACAACAGGGCAUUUGUCUUCAGAAAUAAAAAAGGAUUUCAAUGGCACAUACAUUUUCAGCACUCUUUCUAGAGCAGGGAGCAUGGACAGCCAGCGAACAUAGCUGUGUCCUAAAAUGUUAUGCUACUCCUGGCCAACAAAAUCACCAAAGCUCUUCAGUCUUUCUACUCUGACGGUGAAAAUAUCCAAAUAUCUUUGUGAGCAGGUACUCAACAUCAAGGGGAAUCAUAUCCAAAGCUGUUCUGGCCGUGUUAUGAAUUAUGUGUGCAGGACAACCUAAGCCAAUCACCUCCCGCUGCAGAGCAUUUUUAACUUUGGUAUGGACAUCGCCUUGACCUGAGCGUAUAAAUGGAAAUUCUCUCAUCAUGUUGUCAUUAAAAUGGCAUUUCCGUUUCUUGGAAAGAGCCAUUGUACCUCCUCUGUCUGCUCUUCUUCACUCUCCUUGUGUCACUCUUCUUACUCUCAAUUAUUUUUCUUCUCCUCCAAUCUUUCUCCACUCGUCUUCCUGCUCUUUCUUCCUUUCCUUCUCUUUACCUUUCCACCUCUCUUCCACACUCUCCUCGCUUCACUCUUUUUACUCCCUUCAUUUUUCCUUCUCCUUCCUCUCCAAUCUUUAAUAAUAAAUAGUACACUAUUAGAUAAAAUACUUUGGUUAACAGAUUCCCAUUGCUUGCCUCAUUUUUGUAUUUUAUCUCAAAAACAUUGUUUGGAAUAACAAAUUGACAGACUCUGCAAUCAUAUCUUUACCUUUCCUCCUCUCUCUUUCACUCUCCUUCCUAUCCAGUCUUCCUCCUCCCCAUUAACAUAAAACAUUAUGCUAAUGUUAUCCAUGAAAAUGUCUAAAUAUAUUUUCACACUACUUAAAAUGCCAAACCAUUAAAAUUGUAAUCUACAAAUAUAUAUUCUCAGAAUUAUGCAUUACUUUAAUAUAAUCAUAUUUUCUAAAUAGCCCGUCCACUGCAUGUUUACAAGUGAACGUUUUUUAACCUAGCUACCGUGUAAGUAGCUAGUUAACCUCGCUAGCUAACGCUAGUCGACAUAGCUAGUCGACACAGGCCACCAAAAACGGUGACGUCUGGUCACCCUACUUUAGGUAGAUACUGUCUUUCUACCUACCUAGGCUCAUUUGUACGGUCUGGUCACUGUGCAAAGGUUGAGAGUUAUACCAUAUUGUUGUAAAUGUAAUCUCUGUGCCUGUGCACAUGUACUGUCGGUUCUUGUUGGACUCUGAACCAUGAGGAAACAUUAUGCUGAAGUACUGAAAUUCCCACAAAAGAACGUGGAUUCUUAAAAGUUCUCUGAACAAUUUGAGAACAUUAUAUUAAAUAGAACCAUGCAGUAACCUGUGGGAAACAUUAUGCUGCACUACUGAAAUAUCUACAAUCCAUGCUUCAUCUAGAUAUGUUAGUGCCACUGAAUGAAUUUAAAAUAUUGAUGUGACUAUUACAGAGGAGUUUAAAUUAUUUUUUUUAGGCUGGAUCAUGUUGUAUUGUUGUAUGUUUUAAUUCUGUAAUGUAUUGAUUGUUGCUGCCUUCUUGGCCAGGUCUCCCUUGAAGAAGAGACUGGGUCUCAAUGGGCUUUUCCUCGUUAAAUAAAUCAAAUUUAAAAAAUAAA
Molecule: long non-coding RNA, 2977 nt
Organism: Oncorhynchus keta (chum salmon)
Lineage: Eukaryota; Metazoa; Chordata; Actinopteri; Salmoniformes; Salmonidae
Exons: 4
Source: RefSeq, a predicted model, not a curated record